This 486-nucleotide ribosomal RNA is filed under the name uncultured bacterium. RNAcentral's name for it is "partial 16S ribosomal RNA". It matches the Rfam family "Bacterial small subunit ribosomal RNA", at positions 30 to 507 of the family's 1533-position model. The record is from RNAcentral.
AUUGAACGCUGGCGGCAUGCCUUACACAUGCAAGUCGAACGGCAGCACGGGUGCUUGCACCUGGUGGCGAGUGGCGAACGGGUGAGUAAUACAUCGGAACAUGUCCUGUAGUGGGGGAUAGCCCGGCGAAAGCCGGAUUAAUACCGCAUACGAUCUACGGAUGAUAGCGGGGGACCUUCGGGCCUCGCGCUAUCGGGUUGGCCGAUGGCUGAUUAGCUAGUUGGUGGGGUAAAGGCCUACCAAGGCGACGAUCAGUAGCUGGUCUGAGAGGACGACCAGCCACACUGGGACUGAGACACGGCCCAGACUCCUACGGGAGGCAGCAGUGGGGAAUUUUGGACAAUGGGCGAAAGCCUGAUCCAGCAAUGCCGCGUGUGUGAAGAAGGCCUUCGGGUUGUAAAGCACUUUUGUCCGGAAAGAAAUCCUUGGCCCUAAUACGGUCGGGGGAUGACGGUACCGGAAGAAUAAGCACCGGCUAACUACGUG